This 507-nucleotide long non-coding RNA is filed under the name Triticum aestivum (bread wheat). Its description in RNAcentral is "long non-coding RNA (TAES_LNC006465)". The record is from RNAcentral. Lineage: Eukaryota; Viridiplantae; Streptophyta; Magnoliopsida; Poales; Poaceae.
UGAGCUGGCUAUGUGGUAGUGACUGGCAUAUGUAUGAGCUGAGCUGCUCGUUUCAUUCCUUUUGUGAACGCUCUGCCUUCCCCUUUUCGGCAUUUUUGUCUGUCAACUGAAUAUUUCAGAUCUGGUGUGUUUGAGGUGCACUCAGGAUUGCUACUAAAUAGAUUACCAUCUUGGUCUCUAUUUUGUUCAACGUAAAUAUUGUCAUGUGUUCAUUUUUCAAUGAGGCAUCCAUUAUUUUGCUCCUCUCUUUUAGUUUUCUUGUUUACUCAACACUUAAACAUAUUUAGAGUUAUACCCCCCUCCGUCCCAAAAUUCUUGUCAACGUGACUUGAUACAUCCGUAUUUAGACAAAUCUAAGACAAGGAUUUUGGGACGGAGGGAGUACAACGGGCUGCGUCUUUAGCUAUCUCUACACAUUUAGGUUGAUUGUAUGUAGUUCAGUGCUAAGCCUAACCAGUCCUUAUGUGGCCGUUCUAGAAAAAAGCCUAUGUGGGGACCAAAAAAAAA